CUCUGUCAGCUCAGUCGGUAGAGCGUUAGAUUUUUAACCUCAGGGUCGUGGGUUAGAGCCCCCCAGUCGGGUG
Molecule: non-coding RNA, 73 nt
Organism: Dryococelus australis
Lineage: Eukaryota; Metazoa; Arthropoda; Insecta; Phasmatodea; Phasmatidae
Source: the annotation of a GenBank genome assembly